UAAAGCCUGGAGGCGGCGCCGCCUCUCCCGGCUGAGCUCUGGCCCGGCGCCCGCAGGAUGGCGGGCGCUUCCCCACGCGUGCACUACCUGUCGGACUUCUGCUGCCCGCUCGGAGGCCGGGCGGGGGGGAAGCCGCGUGUGCUGCGUCACGAGGCGGAGGUCUUUCUGUCCACGGGGCGCGAGUUCGUCUAUGUGUACGACCAGGAGGGCGGGAUGCUGACGGCGGUGUUCCAGUUUCCCGACCAGGUGUGGCACCUGCAGCUCCUGGCCACCCGCAGGGCGCUCUACGUCCUGUGCGCCCGGACUGGCAUCUACUGUCUGUCGCUGGACUCGCAGAGCAGGUCUGUGACCCAGGCCUGUGAGGACGAAGAGGAUGAGGCUCGCCCUUUCCCCGUGAUCCGUGUGGACCCGGACGCCUGUGUCCUCCCCAACGCCGCGCUCUGUGCCUUCAGUGUGCUGGAUGACAUGCUGGUCACCCUGGUCCAGGGCCCCACCCAGUGGAAGAUGCAGCUGUUCGAGCGUCCCUGCCCAGGGGAGGAGCCUCGGCCUGGAAGCCAGCUCGGUGAGGUGGAGUUGUCCACCUGCACCCCUCCAGGUGGGGUGCCCGAGAAGCCUGCAGCCCCCAGCUUCCUGCCAGUGCUGUGCUGCGUGUUCCCACCAGACUCCAGGGCGCCUCAUGGUCACCCCGAGGGCUGCGGCUGCUUCAUGCUAGAGGAGGCCCUCUUUGGUCUCCUCUUCGGAGCUGACGCCACCCUCUUGCAGUCCCCCGUGAUCCUCUGCGGUCUCCCUGAUGGCCAGCUUUGCUGUGUGGUCCUGAAGGCCUUGGUUACUUGCGAGUUAGCUCCCGGUGACCCUAAGGUCCUGGUCAAGAUCCUCCAUCACCUGGAGGAGCCUGUGGUCUUCAUCGGGGCUUUAAGGGCAGAGCCGCAUGCUGAGGAAGAGGCAAGAGAGCUGCUGUCUGACGAGAACGUGCAUUCUGACUGCCUUGUAGCCCUUGGCCACCAAGGCCGGACACUGGCCAUCAAGGCCAGCUGGAGCGAGUUGGGGAAUCUGGUGCCAGAGCUUCGCGAGUACAGCCUCCCGGGGCCUGUGCUCUGUGCCGCCUGUGGCAGGAAUGGCCGCAUGUACCACAGCACCCCCUCAAACCUCUGUGUGGUCGACGUGGCUCGGAGAGACACUCCUUGGAACCUCGAGAAGCCAGACGGGGCCAUAGGAGGUCUGCCUUCCAUGCUGUGCCCGGCCAGCUUGAACAUCUGCAGCGUUGUUGCCCUCUGUGUGUCUACAAGGGCAUCUACAGGUAGCACCGAGCUCCUGGCCCUGUCUUCUAAAGGGCGCCUGAUCUCCUGCGUCUUGGACUUGAACUCUGAGGUGCCUGUGCCUGCCAAAAUGGCUGUGGCAAAUGCAGGCCAGAAAAUUAAGGAGCUGCUCUUGGACAUCGGUGAUGUCUCCGAGAGAGUGUCCUUCCUGAAGAAGGCUGUUGACCAACGCAACAAGGCCAUAACAAGUCUCAACGAGGCCAUGAAUGUGAGCUGUGCCCUGCUGUCCAGCCAGGAUGGCGCCCGGCCCAUCUCGUGCACCAUCGCUACCUCCUGGAGCCGCCUGGAGCUGCGAGACAUGCUGAUGGCCACCUGUACACUGGAGAAUAGCAGCAGCUUCAGCCUGGACCAGGGCUGGACCCUGUGUAUCCAGGUGCUUACUAGUUCCUCCGCCUUAGACCUGGAUGGGGCUGGUUCAGCUUUUACCUACACCAUUCCAGUGGACAGACUUGGCCCGGGCAGUCGGCGGGAAGUGACGCUGCCCCUGGGUCCUAGCGAGAGUGGCAUGCUCGACCUGCCAGUGACCAUGUCCUGCUGGCUCUACUAUAGCCUCAAGGAGGUGGUGGGUGGGGCCCUGGCCCCCUCCCACCCUCUAGAGGUCCCCUAUCUGGAGAAGCUCCCUCUCAACCUUCCUAAGCAAGAGGGUGUCUGCCUGCCCCUGUGCAAGCGCACGGUGGACAUGCUGCAGUGUCUGCGCUUCCCUGGCGUGGCCUCACAACCCGCGCAGGUGCCCUGUGUGCCUGGCUCUGCCUGUGAGCCUGUGGAAACCUUCCUGAAGGCCUGCCAAGCCCCCGGCAGUGAGCCAACUGGUGCUGCCUCCCUCCGGGCCAAGUACCUGCCUCCGUCUACAGCGUCCAUCAGGGUGUCCGCGGUGCUUCUCAGAACUGCCCUGGAAGACGGUCACUCAGGUUUCCACCUGUGCAGUGCUACGCUGCAGUGGCUCCUUGCCGAGAAUGCUGCCGCAGCUGUCGUGAGGGCCCAGACCCUGUCCUCCAUCCAGGGCGUAGCCCCAGAUGGUACUGAUGUCAACCUCAUCGUCCGUGAGGUAGCUGUGACUGAUUUGAGCCCCGCAGGGCCCAUCCAGGCCGUGGAGAUCCAAGUGGAGAGCUCCUCUCUGGCCAACAUGUGCAGGGCACAUCAUGCCAUCGUCAGACGCAUGCAGACUAUGGUCACAGAACAAGCUGCCCAAGGCUCCAGCCCACCUGACCUCCGAAUGCAGUAUCUACACCAGAUCCACGCCAACCACCAGGAGCUGCUGCGCGAGGUGCAGACCCUGCGUGACCAGCUGUGCACGGAGGAUGAGGUCAGCUCCUACAGCAUAGCCCAGAAGCUGCUGCAGGUUUACAGGCAGCUCCGCAACCCUAGCCUUGUCCUGUUGUGACCAGCUGCUGGCCAGCUUCUCCUCCUGCGGGACACACUUCAGGCUGAGUUCUGGGGCUUGUUGGGCUGCACCCCUGUACUGGAACCUCUGCACCUCCGAUGGGAAGGAUCGGUGCCCAAAUACUUGGGCCAUGGAGACACAGGGUUACUGGAGUUCAGACUUGAAGGACAGAGUCCUCCAUGGAGAUGGAAUGGCCUCUCUUGACACCGCCCGGAGUCUGUACAAGUCUUUUGUAACAAGGUGCUCACCGCCAGGGUUGCCGGCUUACCUCACCUGCUGGCCUGCUAAGAGUCCUGUCCGUAGCUGGUUCCUCAGUCUACCUACCCUUGCCACCUCCUGCGUGGGAGCCUCUAGCUGCCUCGUAGCGUGCAUGAGUGUCUGCUCUGAGCCAGUUAGAGAGUCCGGCUCAGCCCACAGGAUGGACGGCGUGCCUGGGAGCAGAGAGGGUCUCCCAGGCUGAGCUGGCUUCUGUCUGUCACAGCUGACUUUUCUGGUGUCCCCUACUUGCUGUUAUAGUCCACAGAAAUUGCCAGGUUUGUCUUUAGCCUAAACUCCAGCAGGUUGGGAGCUGAGGCACGUGUCCUCAGGGAUUGCUGGUGAUGUCACCUCAU
Molecule: RNA transcript, 3308 nt
Organism: Alexandromys fortis (reed vole)
Lineage: Eukaryota; Metazoa; Chordata; Mammalia; Rodentia; Cricetidae
Gene: Faap100
Gene name: FA core complex associated protein 100
Exons: 11
Source: RefSeq, a predicted model, not a curated record